AUUGAACGCUGGCGGCAUGCUUUACACAUGCAAGUCGAACGGUAACAGGCCGCAAGGUGCUGACGUGUGGCGAACGGGUGCGUAAUGCAUCGGAACGUGCCCAGUCGUGGGGGAUAACUACUCGAAAGAGUAGCUAAUACCGCAUACGAUCUAUGGAUGAAAGCGGGGGACCGUAAGGCCUCGCGCGCUUGGAGCGGCCGAUGUCAGAUUAGGUAGUUGGUGGGGUAAAGGCUCACCAAGCCAACGAUCUGUAGCUGGUCUGAGAGGACAACCAGCCACACUGGGACUGAGACACGGCCCAGACUCCUACGGGAGGCAGCAGUGGGGAAUUUUGGGCAAUGGGCGCAAGCCUGAUCCAGCAAUGCCGCGUGCAGGAAGAAGGCCUUCGGGUUGUAAACUGCUUUUGUACGGAACGAAACGGCUCUGGUAAAUACCCGAGGCUAAUGACGGUACCGUAAGAAUAAGCACCGGCUAACUACGU
RNAcentral lists this ribosomal RNA (481 nucleotides) under uncultured bacterium. Its description in RNAcentral is "partial 16S ribosomal RNA". It matches the Rfam family "Bacterial small subunit ribosomal RNA", at positions 30 to 506 of the family's 1533-position model. The record is from RNAcentral.